This is a non-coding RNA of Pelobates cultripes (western spadefoot toad), 303 nucleotides long. NCBI's taxonomy places the organism in Eukaryota, Metazoa, Chordata, Amphibia, Anura, Pelobatidae. The record is from the annotation of a GenBank genome assembly.
AAUAUUGGGACAUAUAAAAAAAGACAACUCUGUUCCGCAGAGUAGCUGUUGACAUUAUAGUUGCGCAGGAACUUUGUUGACUCUAGAGAACCUCGGGCAAAUCGCACAUCCCUGUGGCGGCGACUUUGCAUGCGGAUGUCAUCAAUAUCAACUUUCGAUGCUAGUUUCUGCGCCUACCAUGGUGACCACGGGUAACGGGGAAUCAGGCUUCCAUUCCGUACAGGGACCCUGAGAAAUGGCUACCCCAUGCAAAGAAGGCAGCAGGCGCGCAAAUGACCCACUCCUGACGCGGGAAGGUAGUGA